RNAcentral lists this ribosomal RNA (103 nucleotides) under Pteropus alecto (black flying fox). The record is from RNAcentral. Lineage: Eukaryota; Metazoa; Chordata; Mammalia; Chiroptera; Pteropodidae.
GUCUAUAGCCAUGCCACCCUGUCUGAUCUUGGAAGCUAAGCAAGGUUGUUCCUAGUUAGUACUUGGAUGGGAGACCACUUAGGAAGACCAGGUGCUGGAGGCA